This 169-nucleotide ribosomal RNA is filed under the name uncultured bacterium. RNAcentral's name for it is "partial 16S ribosomal RNA". It matches the Rfam family "Bacterial small subunit ribosomal RNA", at positions 1332 to 1500 of the family's 1533-position model. The record is from RNAcentral.
UUGCUAGUAAUCGCGAAUCAGAAUGUCGCGGUGAAUACGUUCCCGGGCCUUGUACACACCGCCCGUCACACCAUGAGAGCCGAUAACACCCGAAGCCUGUGAGCUAACCGUAAGGGGGCAGCAGUCGAAGGUGGGGUUGGUGAUUGGGGUGAAGUCGUAACAAGGUAAC